Molecule: non-coding RNA, 126 nt
Organism: Nemania sp. FL0916
Lineage: Eukaryota; Fungi; Ascomycota; Sordariomycetes; Xylariales; Xylariaceae
Source: the annotation of a GenBank genome assembly
GCCCGCUUGGCUCAGCGGUAGAGCGUAAGUCUAAUGAACUAAUUCAACGAUACCUUCGGCAUACUAACGCUACGAUAGGCAUCACUAGUAAUGAUGAGGUCGUCAGUUCGACUCUGGCAGUGGGCA